CGGCGGAGCUGGACCCGUUCUGCACGCCGCACCAGGGGCGCGGUCACUACUGGGUCAGCCCCCAGCGCUCCCAGACCUCGGGCUCCUCCUGGAGGGACUCGCGCCGCCGCGUCCUCAUCGUCCCCGGCAACACCGGCUUCUCCGACGUCUUCUCCACCCAGAGCGCCGGCUGCUGCCGUCUGCACCACACGCUGGUGUGGAAGUACCGCUGGCAGAAACUGAAAGAGCGCAUUAGGGCCUACCAAAACAGAUGAGAGAUAAGAAGAAAUCCCUCCUUUCUGAUGAAUACUGGAGAUGGGAAGGCAACAAUGGAACAUGUGUGACGUGAUGUGAUUUGAUGUGAUGUGUUUGUAAUGAAUGUAUUAAAUUGAGAGCUCAGUGAGAACAGGCUGUGACUAAUGCUAAUGACAGUUGAGGAUGCAUAUGGAGAUGUUUCUACCAGAGAGGUCUGUGUACAGAGGGAAUGAAAUAGUCACGGUUGUCUGCAAAAUGAUUGCUACAUGCUAACUGUCUCAUUGAAGGCCAUUUGAGGUCCUCUUGAGCUUGAG
Molecule: long non-coding RNA, 548 nt
Organism: Sardina pilchardus (European sardine)
Lineage: Eukaryota; Metazoa; Chordata; Actinopteri; Clupeiformes; Clupeidae
Exons: 3
Source: RefSeq, a predicted model, not a curated record